AUGCCGACCGAGCUGAAGCGCACCGUGGAGGAUGGUGAUGAUUCCACUUCCACCCGUCUUCGCCAGAAAAUCGUAGUUCCAGAAAAGCCGGUCUAUCUGGUGGUGGCGCACAAGGCGGAGCCAGCGUACUCCAUCCUCAGUGUUGGCACAAUGGCGCCUAAGAUCCCACUGCACCUUAGCCAACGCGGCAUGUCGUUCACUGCCAUGGAGUCGCCGCAGGGGUCCUGGAUCGUUGUCGUGGGCGGGGACGAGCAGAUUCACACCACCAUCUUCGAUGUCACGGCCUCCAAGGAGUGGCAGGGCCCGUGGCUCCAUACCAAUAAGAUGGAGCCCAUCCUGUUUCCACACCGCGACCAGCUCUACGUGCUCUCGAGCCACCCCUCCGUGAAGAGGGGGGCGAUGGGGCUCGACUACCUUCCCUGGUUUGAGCAGAUUAAGACUUCGAGGACGGCCGCCCUAACCAAGCCGAGCCCCGACAAGGCUGCCAGGAAAUACAGGAAAUACAUGGGAACCUGUGGGUACGACGUGGAGAAGAAGGUGUGGGAGAUGGUGCAUGAGAUGAAUCUUCCUUUCCUUGGCCAGGCGGUGCCCCACGGGGACCAACUCUUUCUUGCCCGCUCCAAAGAGAGGGACGGCGCUUAUGUAGUGUACUACAUGCAUGUCGGUCAGUCAACAUCUGGGACCAGCGAGCUGUCCAUUAUUGAGGUUCCGCUGGUGAUGCCAAAGGCCUGA
This 732-nucleotide ribosomal RNA is filed under the name Triticum aestivum (bread wheat). RNAcentral's name for it is "partial small subunit ribosomal RNA". Lineage: Eukaryota; Viridiplantae; Streptophyta; Magnoliopsida; Poales; Poaceae. The record is from RNAcentral.